GACGAACGCUGGCGGCGUGCUUAACACAUGCAAGUCGAGCGGUAAGGCCCUUUCGGGGUACGACGAGCGGCGAACGGGUGAGUAACACGUGGGUGACCUGCCCUCAGCUCUGGGAUAAGCCUGGGAAACUGGGUCUAAUACCGGAUAUGACCCCACUGACGCAUGUCGUGGGGUGGAAAGCCUUGUGCGGCUGAGGAUGGGCCCGCGGCCUAUCAGCUUGUUGGUGGGGUGAUGGCCUACCAAGGCGACGACGGGUAGCCGGCCUGAGAGGGCGACCGGCCACACUGGGACUNAGGACACGGCCCAGACUCCUACGGGAGGCAGCAGUGGGGAAUCUUGCGCAAUGGGGCAAAG
Molecule: ribosomal RNA, 354 nt
Filed under: uncultured bacterium
Lineage: Bacteria
Description: bacterial SSU rRNA
Rfam family: Bacterial small subunit ribosomal RNA
Source: RNAcentral